RNAcentral lists this ribosomal RNA (523 nucleotides) under uncultured Diversispora. RNAcentral's name for it is "SSU rRNA". It matches the Rfam family "Eukaryotic small subunit ribosomal RNA", at positions 569 to 1091 of the family's 1831-position model. The record is from RNAcentral. Lineage: Eukaryota; Fungi; Glomeromycota; Glomeromycetes; Diversisporales; Diversisporaceae.
AGCAGCCGCGGUAAUUCCAGCUCCAAUAGCGUAUAUUAAAGUUGUUGCAGUUAAAAAGCUCGUAGUUGAACUUCGGGGUUUACCCAUUGGUCAGGCUUAAUUGUCUGUACUGGUGAGAUGAAUCUCUACCUUCUGAGGAACUUUCAUGCCAUUUAUUUGGUGUGAUGGGAAAUCAGGACUGUUACUUUGAAAAAAUUAGAGUGUUUAAAGCAGGCUAACGUCUGAAUACAUUAGCACGGAAUAAUGAAAUAGGACGGACUGAUUCUAUUUCGUUGGUUUCUAGGAUCACCGUAAUGAUUAAUAGGGAUAGUUGGGGGCAUUAGUAUUCAAUUGUCAGAGGUGAAAUUCUUGGAUUUAUUGAAGACUAACUACUGCGAAAGCAUUUGCCAAGGAUGUUUUCAUUAAUCAAGAACGAAAGUUAGGGGAUCGAAGACGAUCAGAUACCGUCGUAGUCUUAACCAUAAACUAUGCCGACUAGGGAUCGGACGAAGUUAAUUUUAUAAUGACGCGUUCGGCACCUUAC